RNA transcript from Solenopsis invicta (red fire ant), 4340 nucleotides. It is a transcript of the gene named ABC transporter G family member 23, with no coding region annotated. NCBI's taxonomy places the organism in Eukaryota, Metazoa, Arthropoda, Insecta, Hymenoptera, Formicidae. The record is from RefSeq and is a predicted model, not a curated record. The transcript has 21 exons.
CACGCGGUGUAUUAAAAGCACACAGAACAUAUAUAAUAAUUGUCAAAAUUGUUGACCGCUUUCCGCGAUGCCGAUUGGCUGCGAUUGAGAUCGCGCGCGCGCGACAGUCGACAGCUCGCGUUUUGACGAGCGGUGAACGGUAAGGUCAGAGGUUAAGUGCAUGGUGGCCGUUGGUGAGGUUGUGUGUGUAGUGUGUGCAACCGCUCUAGGCAAAGGGCCUGGUUGUUCCACCUUUUGGUGGAACAACCGGGCCAAGAUCUGCAAAAGGUGGAACAGCCGGGCCAAAGUCAAAUCUGUAAAAAGUGGAACAACUGCGGGCCAAGGUCUGCAAAAGAUAGCAAAAAGCUCGAUCAUAAACAAACGCCUCUGCCAAUCAAUAAGAAAUAUUAUCAAAUUAUGCAAAGUAAUGCAGAUAAGUUGAAUUCUGCAAUAAUAUAUGAUAGAGAUUUUAAUUAUAGUUAUGGUAAUCUUUAAAAUGAUGGAAAGAGUGAUCACUUGUUAAAAGUGAAUGGAAGAAUUGUUGAGAGAGCACAUGUUAAUGCGAGUUGCUGUAGAUAUUCACAGCGAAGAUUAAGAUUAUUGAAACAUAUAAUUUUAUGUCGAUGCAGUAUUUCGUACAUGCUAUACAGACAAUAAGUACUGCAUAUGCCGUUACACAACAAAUAGCUAGCUUAUUUUUAUUGUUUGGUGAUAGCAUUGAUGCAAUAUUGAAUACAUAGGAAUGAUUCGCUAUUCUUUAUCAUCAUAAUGGCGAAGUAGGUUUCGUGCAUUGAAUUUGGGCAAAGAUAUGCCUAUAAGAGGCACAGAGAGUGUGUCGGAUGGAUUGGUACCUAUGUUAAAAGCAUAUAAUACAGCCAUUGAGACUGUCUUCAAAAAGGGUAAAAAUGAAGGACCGAUUACUGUAUAUUUAUGCUGAUAUCUUUGAAUUCUUGGAUCUCAAAAGAAGUGUGAGGAGUAGUUUUGAGAACAUGUGUUAUAGGUUGUGGACUCCACAUUUCAAUGAAGUUUUCAUCAUGAAACGCGUUUGUGAUGAUGUAUCUAACCUAAUGUGUCCGCAUGAGUGCCCUGUAUUAAUUGAAACUUGGGGUGAUGAAUUUGAAGCUUUGUGUACCAGAUAUGAAAAAAAGGAUAGGUUCUCGAAGACAAGUUAAAGCCAGGGAGUUGAUGAGGUUUCUCAUCAUUCAAAUACAAUUUGAAACAGGAGUACCAUAUAUGCAGUUUUUAAAGAUCAUUGUAAUCGCAAAUUAAAUCGUCAGAAUCUGGGUACAAUUGAAUACAACAGUUUCUCUACUGAAGUACUUCCAAUGAAGUUGUCAUGUGUAACAUAUGGCUUCAAUCGCUGUCAACAUGUUUAUGAAUUCUACUUUCUAAAGUUCUCAUAAAGAACUUUCAAUUUUUAUAAACUUAACAAAGUAGCGAAAAUUGUCACCUACAAUUGGGAUAAAAUGAUUGGUAUUAAUUUUUAUUUUCUGCCAGAGGUGAAAUUGUUAUGUGAUACACACAGGUCUAUCGGUAUUAUUGUACAAGGAUUAGCAGAUGCAUUGAUUUCAAUGAGAUACUCAUUUGAAAGUAACAAAGCUAAGGAACUCAACGUCCACAUUUUUGAGACUUUAAAUUAUUAUGGUGCUCUAGAAACAAGUUGUGAAAUGGUUACUGAAAAGGUCCUGAUGAGUCAUAUGAAGGGCAAUCCAGUCAGUAAAUGUCUUGGUAUCUUAUCAAUCAGAAACAUACAAAGAAGAUGAACUUUGUACUUAAAAAGGUGUGAAAAAUAUUGAUAACUAACACUAUGAUUACUUGAGCAAUAAACGGCCAGAAACCACAUUAAAAACUUAUGAACGAAAUAAUACAUCAAAGUUACAUUUGUACAAUAAAUUACAAACAGACAAUGAAAAUGUACCUGAAAAAAUAUAUUACAAUUUGGAUGCCAAAAAACUUGUGGACAAACGUUUAGUCGCUGAUCGAACACUCAUUACCAUAUUUCACAAAAUGGUGCAACAAGAGGCGGUGGUCGUAAGAAAUGCCAUGAAGCGUUAUGGGAAAGAGCAAUUGGUGCUUAACGAUUUGAAUAUGACCGUUUCCAGGGGUUCUAUAUAUGGAUUGCUGGGAGCCAGUGGAUGCGGCAAAACUACUCUGUUCUCUUGCAUCAUCGGGCUUCAAUAUUUUAACAGCGGAGAGGUACGUGUCUUUGGGGCAACUCCAGGCAGCAAGGGCUCCGGCAUUCCUGGGCCACGAGUGGGUUAUAUGCCGCAAGAUAUCUCCUUGACAGAAGAAUUCUCAAUAAGCGAUGCCUUCUAUUACUUCGGCAGGAUCAAUGGGCUCAACGAUGAGGAGAUCGGGAUAAAACAGACCUUUUUCUCAAAAUUUCUCCAAUUAUCCCCGUUGGAUCGCCGAGUAAAGAAUAUGAGUGGAGGUGAACAAAGGAGACUUUCCUUUGCUUGCGCAUUGAUCCAUAAACCCGAGCUAUUAAUUCUCGAUGAACCUACUGUGGGUUUGGAUCCACUUUUAAGGGAUAUUAUUUGGACUUAUAUGACAAAACUUACGAAAGAGGAAGGCGUCACCGUACUCAUUACGACGCAUUAUAUCGAGGAGGCCAAAGAUGCUAAUAAAAUCGGUUUGAUGAGAAAGGGUAAAUUGCUAACGGAAUCGGUACCGGAUAAAUUGCUGGAGCAAUUCCGAUGCUCGCUCUUAGAGGAAGUUUUUGUGCAAUUGUCCGUUAGACAGGAAGAAGAGAUUACUUCGAAUGAAAGUCAAAGAUUGCCGGAGGAGACCAGUUGCGACGCGAUGACUCAAGAUAGAUAUGAAUCAACAAAUGAAAUCUCGGAGAACAAAGCGAUUUGGGGAAGUCAAGUUUCGAGAGUGAAGAAACUCAAAGCUCUGGUAGGAAAAAACCACAUCCAAUUUAUCUAUCAUUAUCUAGGCUUCAUUUUUCAUCUUUUCUUCUUGCUAUUUUAACCCAACGUAUACUUUGUGGCAAAUGGCGGAGAUCCGAAGGGUCUCACGCUUGGUAUUAUCAACGAAGAAGCCGGAAAUUGUAAUUUCGGCAGCGACAUUGGCAAUGUUUGGAAAAACGAAAGCAUCUGCACUUUUGACAAUCUCAGCUGCAGAUUUCUGCACCAUUUUGACGAUUCUAUCGCAAUUCAGGAAUAUUACCAUAACAUUUCUGAAGUGACACGUGACCUACAGAAUGGAAAACUCUGUGGUACAAUAUAUUUUAGUCAAAACUUUUCCAAAGGUAUGCAAAACCGAGUGGAAGACUAUCUUUACGCAGAAGAUUCCGAUCUUAACGCUAGUCUAAUUUCAGUUGCCCUCGACAAGAGUGAUAUACAAAUUAGGUCUUUUAUAAAGAGAAAGCUAUCAAAUCGUACGAUAGAGGUUAUGAAGGAUAUAUGAGAUUGCAAAUAUUCAAUAAAAUUGACUGAUCUACCCAUUAAAUUCGAAGAUCCUAUUUAUGGUAAAAAUGACUACAAUUAUAGAGAUUUCACGAUACCGUCAACCAUAUUGACAUUUAUCUUCUUUUUGAUUCUCACAAAUUCUACCAACCUGAUAUGCACAGAUAGAUCGAAAGGUCUCUGGAACCAAAGUGCGGUCCAAGGGAUCAAGGUAGAAGAAAUCCUGCUAUCUCACAUUCUUUACCAGAGUUUAAUUAUACUUAUCGAUACCAUCGUGUUAAUGCUUAUAUUCUUUAUUGCAUGGAGUAUCGAUUAUAAGGGAUCGUUAUUUGCCAUAUUCCUCGUCAUCUUUCUCAGCGGCUUUUGCGGAUUGAUGUCCGGUCUAGCUAUCUCUGUUUUCUGCAAAAAUUCCACCAUGGCGAAUUUCUGUGCGGCUGGAAGCUUUCUCAUGCUACUAAUGGUUAGCGGUAAGUCGUCAUCUGUUUUAUAAAAAUUGCUAUUAUACUUCAAUUUAAUAUUGCUAAAUAGUAACAAGUCGUAUCAAUUAUUAAAUUUAUUAAAUUUAUUAUUCUGAAUUCAAAUUCCUUUAUCACACACGUAGUGAUACAUUGCAUUAAUAAUACAAUAGCAACAUAAAAAAUUAUAACAAAUGUUAGUGAAAAUUAACAUUAAGUACAUUUCGCUAAAGACGGUUUUACGUUAACCAAGUUUUUAUUAUAUGUAGAGGAGAAGAGGGUAUUAUGGCUACUGUGGACAUUAUGGCUACCCCCAUUAUCUCCGUUAUUAUUAAGUGAUAAGUUCUAACAAUUGUUUAUGGAAUGAUUUAAUUAGUAGCCCGCCGCUUUUUUAGCAUGGUGUUAAUAUGCCUAUUGUGUAUUCACAAUAGCUAACAAUUGUUAUAAAGCAUUUUUACUUUUGAACAUUUCUAAAUUUUUUCAAUGUACAUUUUAG